ACCCACAGAAACAGACAGCGCGGUCAAGAAUAUUCGUUUACUAUUAGCUACUUCCACAAGAUAUUUUUAAGUGUUACAUGGUUUUAACGGACAAUAUUUAGAAACGACACGGUUUGUGCAUAUUUUGCCUAUGCUACGUCAAAAAUGCUUUAUGUUUAGCUGUAGCUUAAUGUUAUUUAUAUGUCACUGUCAGGUUUAAAUGAACCAUUAUUUUACAAUACACUGUGUAUUUAAAUGAAUACACUUAGAAAGAAAUAUUAUUUAUUGAAAUAUCAAAGACAAGAGAUUGAAACAUUGAAUAAUAAACAAAUAAAAGAACCUCACGAUACUGCCUUCUUUCUGUUGAGAGCUAUAAAAACUAUCCCUAUACCAACAAAAAUAAAUAGGCCUAAAUAAAAAAAAAUAAAAAAACACGGUUAAUAUACAGGUUUUUGGCUACACUAACCAUAGUUCAACCAUGGUAUUUAACAACAAAUGUUAAUCAAUCCGUCAAAAAACAUGAUUACUACACUUUUACUAUAAAAAUUUUUUAAUUUUCGUAAAGGAUACGCUGAACAAAAAUCAUUAUGUCAGUGUAAUAUCAUAAUCCAUUUAAUAGUCACAAUAAUUUUCCAUGUUUAAUCAGUUCUUUUUUAUUUUAUUUUUCGGUAAUUACAUUAAAAGUGGUCGAUAAAGUGUUUUAUCUUAGUGUUUUAUAGGGUGAAUUCAGGACGGAUACAAUUUGCCAUUGAGAUGACUGUGGGAAAAAGUGUCCCAAUCAACCUGAAUUCACCCCUAUAUGUGGCACAUUACAGAGCUAGAGAAAACACCUGAGCAAUCGUAAAGCUAAUUUAAAGAUCUGCUGAGGUAAGCAGGAGGGAAACCAUGUGUUUUGACACCACUUGUAAACUUUCUCACCGACACGCCCCACGGAAUCCCCGAUACACUGGAGCUUCCUUCAGUCUUGAGAGCCGGUCAGAGCAGAGAUUUACAUCGCCUGUUUUCUGUUGAGGAAGAAACAUACAGUUUUGGAAUGACACGAGGAAAAUUCCCCCACAGAAUUCGAUAUUUCUGGCCAUCUGUCAUCUUGGCUUGUACAUAUUCAGCAUUCCAGUGCUUAAAGGGCAUUAAAGGAUACAUCUAAGCCAGAGAUGUGUAGGAAGCAGCCAUAGAUUCACACUGUCAGCAAGAAACUUCAUCUGGAUGUCACUGAAGGAAUGGACUCUUUAGACCAAGCAAUGUUUUUCCAGUCUUCUACUGACAAGUUUUGAUUACAGUAUGGAUUCUCUGGUCAUGGACUUACCAAAGAGCACCUGCAGUCUGGCAACACAAGACACAAAGCCAUAGAAGGGCAGGUACUGUUCACCGGCACCAAACCUCUCCCACAACAACUGCUCCACA
Long non-coding RNA from Megalobrama amblycephala (Wuchang bream), 1380 nucleotides. RefSeq lists it as uncharacterized. The record is from RefSeq and is a predicted model, not a curated record. NCBI's taxonomy places the organism in Eukaryota, Metazoa, Chordata, Actinopteri, Cypriniformes, Xenocyprididae. The transcript is spliced from 5 exons.